AAGGUUAAAGGUCAGGCAGGGGUCACCCAGACAGGAGUCUCCAGGUGUGGCCCCGCCCCCAUCCAGGUGUGUCCCAGGUGUGUCCCAGCUGCACCCAGGUGUGUUUGGGUGUGUCUCAGGUGUGUUUGGGUGUGUCCCACACUCACCUUGCAGGUGUCCCCGCCCCCGCCCAGGUGUCCGGCACACACCAUGGCCCAUCCCAGCUGUACCC
Zonotrichia albicollis (white-throated sparrow) is the source of this 211-nucleotide long non-coding RNA. The record is from Ensembl. NCBI's taxonomy places the organism in Eukaryota, Metazoa, Chordata, Aves, Passeriformes, Passerellidae.